RNAcentral lists this long non-coding RNA (8510 nucleotides) under Zea mays. Its description in RNAcentral is "long non-coding RNA (ZMAY_LNC004524)". Lineage: Eukaryota; Viridiplantae; Streptophyta; Magnoliopsida; Poales; Poaceae. The record is from RNAcentral.
GCUGAAGACCCUGAGCAUCUAUUUGGUGAAGGCAAGUGUCCUCUGACCCAUUAUGUCCUAUUUACUUUAUAAUUCACUACCCCGCAUACUAUGAACAACCUAAGGAUUUACUAGCUUUCUAUUUACCUUGUCCUUGAUUUACCUUUUGGGUUACUAUGGUUAGCUUCAUGCUAGCGCUUUACUUUAAUCAAUGAACAUGAUGAGAUACAAUGAUGAUACUAUGAUUUUACUCUGGAUAUGAUGAUAUACUUGUGGCAUUUAGGGGACUCGAGCGGUUUCUUGAGUGCCUCUCCGUAAGGACCUGUUCGUUGAGAGACCACCCGGGAUAACAGUGCAACCAUGAGGGUGAAAUGGGAUGCCCUUAGCUAAUUAAUUAGAGGAACUAGAGGUGUAGUUGCUUCGCCGUCGUGCCGUCAAUGGGGUCCAGACACAGUGCUUGCUCUGCCGAGGCUGGGUGCCGAGGUCCUUUCGUUUUGCUUUUGUUAGUCACCCUCCUGCGGGGAGGAGUACUGUGUUUAUCAAACUGGAGAAACCUAACAGGUGGCUAUGACCUCUAGGGAAUCUUUGUAAAAGCUACGUAGUGAUACCCUGCCGGACCACCUAGGAAGUGAUCAAUGGGGAGUCAUGAUCCCCGGGCAAAACGGGAAUCACGGCUCAUGGGUAAAGUGUGCGACCUCUGCAGAGGGUAAUGAAACUGAUAUAUCAGCCGUGCUCACGGUUAAGAGCAGCCUUGGGAUCCUCUUUGAUUAGAGAUACUUCGAUCAGAGAUGGUUGGUUUACAGAUGAUGACGAGGAUGGUUAUGAUCAUGCUUAUGGUAAUGGUAAGUGGUAUUCUUUCCAUUUGGAAAGGGUACUUUGGGUUAAGAACUUGGGUUAAUGCUAAAACCUGGCUUUCUACUAGUAAUAAUAACCUGACCAACUAAAAGCAACUGCUUGACUUAACCCCACAUAAAGCUAGUCCACUACAGCCAAACGGGACAUUUGCUGAGUACGUUGAUGUGUACUCACCCUUGCUUUCACAAAACACCAGGUUGCCUUUGGUGCAAUCUAUGCUCAGGUAAACAAGGCGUCGAGGCGGAUCUCCAGGAGUUCCAGGACGUCGACGAGUUCGAGGAUUAGGCUAGCGACCUCCCCCAGUCAGCUGCCUGUGGUGGGUUGUUUACAUUGGCUACGUUUCGAUUCUGUGUACUUUGAUUUAUAUUAUGUAAAUGACUCUAGUUUGUAAUAUUAUUACUUACUCUUUAUUGUAAUUCGAAGCAUUGUGCUAUGAUGAGUCAUUUAUGUAAUCGCUGUGUACGUGAAUUACUGAUCCUGGCACGUACAUGGUUCGCAUUCGGUUUACCUUCAAAACCGGGUGUGACAUAAGUGGUAUCAAAGCCGUGCUGACUGUAGGACCGCUGACCUAGAGUAGCAUUGGCCGUUUUAAGGACUUAUUGAUUAUUACUUCAUCUCAUCCUUGAUUCUGCUUCAAAAUAUUAGUCACCUCGACUAAUUCUAUGUUGUGCUCCUAUAUGCCCCUUGCCAAAAAGUAUUUUAUUCUAGUAUGGUCUAUACUUCUCCCAAUCUAUUAGACCUGAUCUCAUCUUGUGCUUGUGACAUCUUUGUAGAUGCCCCCUGACCAUAGCCUUUAGUCUUUUGGGGUCUCUUUCCUCAUCCAUUAUUAAAUUGCUACUAUUUGACCAUCUCUAUUCCAUUUUGUUAUUGACAUGCCCGUAUCCUUGCAUUUUUAAUACCCUUAUCCCUUAAUCUAAAGCACUUACCCUUGUACCUCUACUGCCUAUUUAAACAUUUCAGUUUACAUGUCCAUGAUCUUACUGUCAUUUGGGACCCUUUCCUAUUCUAUUGAUAAGUCGCUAUCUUUUUGGCAAUUUGUACUUUCUUGGUCUUGGUAUGCUCGUACCAUUGGAAUCUUGCAUACUCUUAUUUUUAUAUAUGCUUACCUUUAUGUCCCAAUAUCUGUUUGAAAUAUUUCAGUUAACAUGCCCUUGACCACCCUUGUUUCCUAAUGACCCAUGAGUGAUCAUUUUAUUUUGCACACCUGUAGUAAUCUCGUUGUUUCCUUGUAACUCCACUCGGUAAUGAAUCUUUACUUCAACCCUUCUGUUGGAACCAUAUCGAUCUUACCCUUGAUUGUUUUCUCCACUUUGUCGUUUCGCGAGUCUUGUCUUAACUAUAUCCUUUGUUAUGCUUUUUAAUUAUUAUCUUAUGCACCCUUGACACCUCUAUAUCCUACAUUGAUGUUUGUCUCAUACCUGCCCUUUAAAAUCGCCCCUCUUCCGUCUCAUAUCUUCUUUUUCUUGGCCAUAUCCUCUUCUUUGGCUCGCGAGUUUGUAACCUCAUCCUUUGUUGUGCUUUUGUUUCUUAUUGCCUUUACCCUUCUCAUCUCUCAAUCUUACCUUGGUGAUUACGCUAUGUUCGUUGUCUAAAACCUCCAAUCUCCCACCUUAGUUCAAGCGUGGUCCCUUACUUAUCUCACCCGUGGAUAUAUCCUAUACUUUACCACUUGCAAGACUUAUCUUAACUCUAUUCUUGGUUGCACCUAGAUUCCUGGUUUUUAUGCACAUUUACCUCUUCCUUUAUAUCCUUGUCUAUUAUCGCCUUUGACCCUUGUGAUAUUCAGGCCUUCCACCUAAAUGUUUACUUUAAACAUAUCCUUUAAAAGUCUCCCCUUUCUUUCAACCCAGUUUGAGAGCUGUGAGUUACCCAUCUCUCCCUUGAUUUCCUUUCAAUUCUUGUUGCCUUACAAGUCUUGUCUUAAUUCCAUCCUUUGAUGUGUGUUUUAUUUGCUAUCACCAUUACCUUGUCAUCCAUCGGUCUUGCCUUGACACUUACCUUUAUUCUUGCUCUUAAAAUAUCUCCUCUCUUCCACCUCAAUUUGAGAGUGGCAGUUUACCUAUCUGGCCCUUGGACGUACCCUCUCCUUUUCUAUUUGCAGGUCUUGUCUUAACUCCAUUCUUUAUGGUAUUUAUAUUCUUGGUUCUUAUGCAUAUUUACCUCCUCUCCUACAUCCUUGUCCGUUAUCACCUUUAAACCCUCGUGAUACCUAUGCCCUUGCCCACAUGCGUACUUUGAACCUACCCUUUAAAGCCUCCUCUUUUUCAUCGCUGUUUGAGGAUAAUGCAUCACCUACUUCACCAUUGAUUGCUUCCCCUUCUUUGAUGCCUCACAAGUUUUGUCUAAAAUACAUCCUUUAUUGUGUGUUUGUCCAUUAUCACCUUAACACUUGUCAUCCCUCGAUUUUUACCUUGAUGCUUAUCUUGCACCUGCAUUUUAAAGCCUCCUCUCCCAUUUCAUUUCAAGAGUGACGUCUUGCCUAUCCCGCUCUUGUUCAUUCCCUUUUUCCUCUGUCGCGUUGCAAGUCUUGUCCUAACUCUAUCUUUUGGUGUGUUUUUGCCUUUCACCUCCCUUACCUUUGUAAUCUCUAGAUCUUUCCAUGAUGUUAUCUUAUGCCUACCUUUUGAAAUAUCAUCUUUUCCAUCUCGAUUUGAGAAUGGUGUUUUACCUAUCCUGACCUUGGUUGCAUUCUCUCCCUUGUCGGUUACAAUCAUUGCUUUAGCUCCAUCCUUUAUUAUGCUCAUGCCCCUACCCUCCAUGUCUUAUUAUUCCCCUUGCCUUUUGUUGGCCUUAGAGUAGUUUCCCUUUUCAAGGAAAGACCACCAUUUAAUUAAAAGGAACGUAUAGCAAUGAGAUGUUUGUUACUAUGUGCUCAUGAUGUUUGUCCUUCUGCUAUGACUGAUUUGCUUCUUUGGAAUGAGUGUUGAUGUGUUGUGGCCCUUGGUCUGUAAUGGAAUCUGUUUACUAGGUGAGUGCCAUAGAGUUAAGUAUUUGGGUUCUCCCCCUUCUCACUCUAAUCCGUCUAUACUUACCUUUUCUCGCUACUCUUUCCUCUCGCACCUAUCCAGUUGGCCACCUCCAACUUCUCCAAAUCAGUCAAGAUCAGAGUCGGCAACAUCUUCAUCAAGUGCAUAUCAACGCUUUUGUUAAGGGGGUUAGCCGCUAACCCCAAUGAAGACAAUGCGAACAACAUCAACCAACAAGAUCAGAGUGGCGCAGCAAGAGUGUGUGUGGGUCCUAACCCACAGGUCCAAGAGAUCCUCAAGAAUUGUAUCAAUUGGUCUCGAGCAUAUGAAGGUCAAAGCAACCAAUCCGCAAGUUAAAGUUUCUAGAGUCAAAGUUGAGUCAGGAGAAGCUAUGAAAGACCAAUGAACCAAUCUCAUUUUCUUGCUAGCCUCUUCUUGAAUCUCGAGGGCGAGAUUCCUGUUAAGGGGGUUAGAUUUGUAACACCCUGAAUUUGGGGGUAUAAAAUUUCUUUUCUAAUAUCCACCAAAUUCGGGUGUUACUCUCUCUUUUCCUUGCUAUUCUUUUCUUUUUCCUAAAUAAUGGAGGAAUAGUUUGUUUUGUGUCUAUGUGUAAGUGUGUAAGCAUAGUAAAAUAAAACCUUAAGAGGUGCUCUAAUUUUGUAUCAUGCCGGAGCAUACUUUUAUUUUGUUGGAUGGGUGAUUUUGUGGAGCAUCCAUUUAAUAGGGAAUUCGAUUUGAAAUGGUGGAAAGAAUAGAAAAGAACAAAAGAUAAUGAAAGAAUAGGAAAGAAAUGGAAAAGGCCCAGCUUACCCAUCGACCAGGCCCAGCUGCGGCCCACCCCAUUUCCCCCGCAGGUGCGCGCGCCCAACCCUAGCCGCGUGGGCGCCGUCCGCCCAGCCGCCGCUGCACACUGUUCAUCUUCCUCAAACCGCCACUCCCUCACGUCUUGCGCGCAGCCGCCGCACCACGUCCUCGCCUCGCGGCAUCUCGCCUCACCUUGCUGCAUCUCGCGCUCGCCUCGCCCUCGCUGCGCUCGUCAUCCUGCAGAGAAGCCCCACGUGCACGUCCUCUGGCCGAGCUCCCAGCACCCUCCGCAAAAGCCCCAUGGAGGCGUGCGAUUAGAGCCCCUGCCCAUCCCCUACGUGUUGCUGUGCCCGGACGCCGCCGCAGCCGCGUAGCCAUGGCCGCCGUCAUGCCCUGCGCACACGUCACUUCCGCCAUACGCCCACUGCUCCGGCGAUCUUGUUGGCAUGUGUGGUCGCUACAUCCCGCGUUGCCAAGGUAAGGCCAUGCUAUGUUGUUUCCCCUCUCCUUCUCUAUUGCCGCGAUGCCACGCUGCCGUGCCACGAGCACCACCGACCCGCCAUGGCCACUGCACGCCCUGGCCAGCGAGCGGCCACGCCCGCCCCAACCGGUGGGCUCCUUCCCCUUACUGCUCGUCCAUGGAAGAACUGUCGGGCGCUGCUACCCUGCUCCACUGGCCGCAUCACCGUCGCCUGGCCAUGGCCGCCGACACCGACGUGGUCCACCUCCUGGCCAGCAACUAACUCGCUUGAAUGCCCCUUGCGGUCGUCGUGGUGGUAGGGAGAGAAAAAUCAACCGUGCACGUCAUGCAUGGGUGCAAGAAGGAAAAAGGCAUGCAAGUAGAAACGCCCGCGAGCCCCAUGUUGCAUGUCGUAUUCCUCUCCUGCGUGCAUGCGCUCAAGAGAAACAGUCCUCCAAGGAUCCGAGGUGGAUGCAAAAUCCAUGACCAUCCCUGGGAAUUGGCUCGGACCAAUCACAACGCACCAUAUCACUUUAAAUUUGCAGUUUAUUAAAUACAUGUUAGAGUUUAUGUUAUAAAUCCAUUUUAUAUUGUUCAGAUUGUGUUAGCUUCGUAAUAAUGUCGUGCACACAUUAAAAAUAUUGUUUUGUCGAGAUCCAUGUUUUAUUUAUUUAGUUAAUUGUUAGUUCGUUCGUUGGUUAUUAAAAAUAACUGUUAGUUAAAACUAACUUAUCGUUUUAAGCUCCCCUUUUAUAAAUACAUGUUAAUGUGAUUAUGCCAAUUCAAAUGUUUUUUAAUUUAUUCUUGCUUAGUAUAAACACGACAUUAGUUAGUCAUUCGCGUGUGUCGCGCGCGUCGUCGCGUGCCGUUCGCGCACUUUGCGCAUGCCGUUCGCACACGUUGACCCAUGUCGUCACAUGCACUGCGCACCCCGCUUUAGUGUGUCGCGCACCUUGUUGCGUGGCAAUAAACUAAGUUGCACGUAGAAUCGCUCACGUUAAUUAAGUUACAUAAUUAGACGAUGAUUAACCGAGUAUUAAACCAAUCGAAACUAAGUGUUAAUUCUAUCAAUGCAUGCGAUAAAUACCUAUUAUAGUGAUUUUGCCAUUUUAAGUGUUGCAUCUAAUAUUUGUUUAGUAUAAAUACGACAUAGUUUAGUAAUAUUCGCACGUCGCACCGUUUUCGCAUGUCGCGCGUUGUUUGUGUGUCACCGUUAUUCGUUCGCGCGCGUGCUAUCCACGCGCGACAUUAAACGGUUCGCUUAUAAUGGCUCAGGUCAGUUAAUUAGCUGUUUGGGUAAUCGUUCAUCAUUAAAAUAUUAAUUCAGUCGAAAUUAUGUAGUAGUUUUUAAUCUACAUUUGAUAAAUAUCAAUCAAUAUAAUUAUGCCGAACUAAUGUUCUAACUAAUACUUGGUUAGUGCAAUCACACUAUUUGUUAGCGAUAAUCAAGCGUCGCUGCACCCUCAGUGCGCUGUUCGCGCGUGAUGUUCUUGUGGCACGCACACUGUUCGCGCAAGUAGUUGCGCGUCGUUUGCGUGCCGGUUGCGCGUGUCAUCAUUCCUUCGCACGUUCGUGCCGCGCGACUGGUUCGCGUAUCGUGCGUAUCUCGCGUGUCGCGCGUGCUCGCGCGUCGUUUUCAUGGUGUCGUGCUGUUCGCGCCGUAGCCGUGUCACGCACUGUGGUGCACGUUGUUUCGCAUGUGUCGUGCGCUGUUCCACAGGUGGUGGCGUGCUGAUUCGCGCGUCAUUCGCGUUGGUCGCGCGCGGUGUUUCGUGUGUCGUAGCAUGCUAUGUCGCGUAUGUGCGCGCGUCGGGUGCAUGUUGUCGUGUUGUUUCGUAUAUCGUAAAUUCGUCUUGCGUAGAAUCUCUCGUGUUAAUUAAAUUACUUAUUUAUUUGAUAGUUGUUAGUGUAGCAGAUUAAUCAAACUAAAUAGUGGAUAUACUUUAUAAUUGGUAAGGUCGAAUUAAUUGUUAGCGUUAAUACUUGUGUAGCGUAAACGCGAUAUUUUCCCGACCGUCGCUUCGAGUUCGACAUUUCUUUCCCUCGCGUGACCAUAGAAUCGAGCUCUAUUUUAUGCUGCAUAUUUUUAUAGCAUUUUAUCUUGUAUGGUGUAAUGUUCUUAUGCACUUAUAUAUGUUUGUUUGUCUGUGCUUGUUCGUCUUCGCUUCGCAUUGCGAUUAGAUCGCGAUUCGUUUCCGAGCUUCGAGGAAUCGACGAUCAAGCCUUGGUGACCAAGUGAUCGAACUCUUCGAGUUCUACGAGGCUGAAGACCCUGAGCAUCUAUUUGGUGAAGGCAAGUGUCCUCUGACCCAUUAUGUCCUAUUUACUUUAUAAUUCACUACCCCGCAUACUAUGAACAACCUAAGGAUUUACUAGCUUUCUAUUUACCUUGUCCUUGAUUUACCUUUUGGGUUACUAUGGUUAGCUUCAUGCUAGCGCUUUACUUUAAUCAAUGAACAUGAUGAGAUACAAUGAUGAUACUAUGAUUUUACUCUGGAUAUGAUGAUAUACUUGUGGCAUUUAGGGGACUCGAGCGGUUUCUCGAGUGCCUCUCCGUAAGGACCUGUUCGUUGAGAGACCACCCGGGAUAACAGUGCAACCAUGAGGGUGAAAUGGGAUGCCCUUAGCUAAUUAAUUAGAGGAACUAGAGGUGUAGUUGCUUCGCCGUCGUGCCGUCAAUGGGGUCCAGGCACAGUGCUUGCUCUGCCGAGGCUGGGUGCUGAGGUCCUUUCGUUUUGCUUUUGUUAGUCACCCUCCUGCGGGGAGGAGUACUGUGUUUAUCAAACUGGAGAAACCUAACGGGCGGCUAUGACCUCUAGGGAAUCUUUGUAAAAGCUACGUAGUGAUACCCUGCCGGACCACCUAGGAAGUGAUCAAUGGGGAGUCAUGAUCCCCGGGCAAAACGGGAAUCACGGCUCAUGGGUAAAGUGUGCGACCUCUGCAGAGGGUAAUGAAACUGAUAUAUCAGUCGUGCUCACGGUUAAGAGCAGCCUUGGGAUCCUCUUUGAUUAGAGAUACUUCGAUCAGAGAUGGUUGGUUUACAGAUGAUGACGAGGAUGGUUAUGAUCAUGCUUAUGGUAAUGGUAAGUGGUAUUCUUUCCAUUUGGAAAGGGUACUUUGGGUUAAGAACUUGGGUUAAUGCUAAAACCUGGCUUUCUACUAGUAAUAAUAACCUGACCAACUAAAAGCAACUGCUUGACUUAACCCCACAUAAAGCUAGUCCACUACAGCCAAACGGGACAUUUGCUGAGUACGUUGAUGUGUACUCACCCUUGCUUUCACAAAACACCAGGUUGCCUUUGGUGCAAUCUAUGCUCAGGUAAACAAGGCGUCGAGGCGGAUCUCCAGGAGUUCCAGGACGUCGACGAGUUCGAGGAUUAGGCUAGCGACCUCCCCCAGUCAGCUGCCUGUGGUGGGUUGUUUACAUUGGCUACGUUUCGAUUCUG